GCCGUGUGUCAACUUUUGGAAUCAAUCUUGACCACAAGUUCUCAUCCAACGGCUAUCAUAAAAGAUUGCUUUUAACACACUUAAGAGAGAAACCCUAUUUACUGGCCAUGAAAUGGAAAAAGACUCCACUCUCUUUGCUCUUGCUGCACCACCUUCCUCCAUUUUCUCUUUUGCUUAAAUGAAACAAGUUUUGGUAAGGAGAGUGAAGGAAAGAGGUUUGCCGACUUACAUCUCUAAGCGCAUUUUUUGACGAGUGUUUGCUGGGCUCACCAUGUUUCGACAACAAGCGGAAUUCAACCAACUAAUGGAAUCAAUAGCUCGCCUAAAUCAUCUUAUUGAUCAAAAUGUAUACGCUUUCUUAUUUAUUUUUUAUUUAUCUAUCAUAAUUAAUUAUUCUAUUUUUUUAGGAGGAAUUCAUAUUAUUUGCAGUUGAUUCCCUUGAUACAAAUAAUGUGAUUACUGAAGGCGAUUUGUCAUAUGUUCGGUCGUGGAUGGUGCGUAAAUGGGAAGAACAGAAUGUUUGGCGAUUCAGACUAGCUUUUGUAGAUCUAGCCCUCAGGAUGGGUUACGAUGUGGACUUUUUUCAAAACUUUGCAACAACUGCUUCUACACACUUAGCAAUGGAGUUGUAAAAUUCAGCUUCUAUUCCAACGUUCCAAGCCUGUUGACAAGGGUGCAUCAACUCUAUGCUAGAAUUGGCAAAGUUGGUCUGUAUAAGAGAGAGCGUCUUGUAAGUAGAGAUGACAAUAUUGAAAUUACAGAAGUUACAAAAGGCCAAGCACAUGAAUCCAAGUCUACUGUCCACCUCAAAAGUCCUGGAAGAGGUAAAAGAAUUAUUAAAUAUAAAUAUAAGCUUUUUAAUGAUGAGAUUGAACAAAUGUUGAAAAUUGAUUGGGUUGAUGAUAUUUGCGUAUUGUUAGUUGAAAAACUAUUACGGUUAAAAAGUUUUCAUAAAAUGAUUUUUUUAAAGUCUUUUAUAACAAUAUUUGAAAAUGUGCUACCAUGCAGGUGGAUGAUACGGACAACUUUUGGCAAGUUGAUUUUGCUUCGGGUGGGAGUGUGACUGUCCACAAAUCAAAAACCAAACAUUCUGGUUUGGUUUUUAAGCAAGUGCAAGUGGCAAUGGAGGAAAAAAGACAUUCUGGUUUGGUUUUGGAGCAAGUGCCAAGGAAAAGUGCAAUUUUACAUUUACUCCAUCUCUUCCUCCUCCACUGCCACUUGCACUUGCUCCAACUCCUCCUCCUCCUCUACUCCCACUUGCUCCAAAACUAAACUAGAAUGUUUGGUUUGUAAUUUGUGGAUAGUCACACUCUCAUCCAAAACAAAAUUGACUUGCCAAAAGUUGUCUCCAUCAUCCACCUGCAUCGUAGCACCUCUCCAAAUAUUGUUAUAAAAGACUUCAAGAAAGUCAUUUUAUAAAAACUUUUGAACCGCAAUAGUUUUUUAACUAACAGUAUGCAAAUAUCACCAACCCAGUCAAUUUUUAACAUUUUCCAAUCCCAUCAUUAAUGAGCUCAUCUUUAUAUUUAAUAAUACUUUUGUCUCCUCCAAGACUUUUGAGGUAGAUAGCAGGCUUGGAUUCAUGCACUUGGCUUUAUGGAACUUCUGUAAUUUCAAUAGUGUUACAUCUACUCUCUCUUAUCACGACCAACUUCGUCAAUUUUGGCAUAGAGUUGAUGCACUCUUGCCAACAAGGCUUGGAAUGCCGUAAUAGACGUUGAAUUUUGCAAAUAAUUUGAUGCCGCGUGUUUAAAUGCUUGACACUUGUUAAAGGUCUGGACUAUGCUUGCUUUCGACUUACCUCCGAGGAAUUUAUUAUCAUAAUUAUUUCUCAUGUAUUUUUUAUUUUAGUUUCAUAUUAUAUUGUUUUUAUUUAGUAAGAUAUAAAUUUCUAUGCCAUUAUUUAGCGUGGUAACU
This is a long non-coding RNA of Ziziphus jujuba (common jujube), 1917 nucleotides long. RefSeq lists it as uncharacterized. The record is from RefSeq and is a predicted model, not a curated record. The transcript is spliced from 4 exons. Lineage: Eukaryota; Viridiplantae; Streptophyta; Magnoliopsida; Rosales; Rhamnaceae.